UACAGAGGUCUCAAGCGUUGUUCGGAUUCAUUGGGCGUAAAGGGUGCGUAGGUGGCGCUGUAAGUCGGGUGUGAAAUUUCGGAGCUUAACUCCGAAACUGCAUUCGAUACUGCCGUGCUUGAGGACUGGAGAGGAGACUGGAAUUUACGGUGUAGAGGUGAAAUUCGUAGAUAUUCGCAAGAACACCAGUGGCGAAGGCGGCUCACUGGCCCGGUACUGACGCUGAGGUGCGAAAGCGUGGGGAGCAAACAGG
RNAcentral lists this ribosomal RNA (253 nucleotides) under uncultured bacterium. RNAcentral describes it as "partial 16S ribosomal RNA". It matches the Rfam family "Bacterial small subunit ribosomal RNA", at positions 524 to 776 of the family's 1533-position model. The record is from RNAcentral.